Asparagus officinalis (garden asparagus) is the source of this 2459-nucleotide RNA transcript. It is a transcript of the gene named pentatricopeptide repeat-containing protein At3g06430, chloroplastic, with no coding region annotated. The transcript is spliced from 3 exons. The record is from RefSeq and is a predicted model, not a curated record. NCBI's taxonomy places the organism in Eukaryota, Viridiplantae, Streptophyta, Magnoliopsida, Asparagales, Asparagaceae.
UUUGAAAAUUUGUUCUAUCUCGGAAGGAUAUCACGUCGCUGCCCUGAAUCCUACUCCCCCCUCUCGCGCCUCGCUCCGACCUCCGAGAAGCUCCAAGCCGAUGGCGUCUUCAUCCUGCUCCUUCUCCUUCUCCUCUUCUCUCCUCAAUCUCCACUCCCAACACAACAAGCCCUCGUCAUCCUCCCCCUCCGCCUUCGCUUUUCGUCCGAGAAAAACCCCUCACCCUCCCUCUCGCUCUUCUUCUUCUACCUCCAGAUCUCGAACCCUCACUCCGAAACGAUCUUCUCCGUCGCCGCCGCAGCCGCCGCCGGCGACGCCGAGGAAGAAGCACUGGAAGGAGGGAGAGUUCCCGGGGGUCUCCGAGGGGGCUCUUCCCUCGAGAAGGGGGCCGAUCAAAAAUGUUAAGAAGAAGAUUGAGGAUCGAGCGGAGGCCAAAGCUUGGGUCCCCACUGUUACUGAAACCCUAGCUGAUAAGAUUCAGAGGAAACAGUGGCAGGACGCCCUCGAGGUAUUUGAGAUGCUGAAAGAACAAAUUUUCUAUUACCCCAAAGUAGGCACAUACGUGAAACUGCUGGUCCUUUUGGGAAAAUCUGGCCAAGCAAUUCGUGCACAUCAACUGUUUGAUGAAAUGCUUGAAGCAGGAAUUGAACCCACUGCAGAACUGUAUACCGCCUUAUUGGCAGCCUAUUGUCGCUCGAAUCUCCUCGACCAAGCGUACUCUAUCCUCGAUAAAAUGAAGUCCCUGCCUUUUUGUCAGCCAGAUGUAUUUACAUAUAGCACCCUCUUAAAAGCCUGUGUUGAAUCAUCGCGGUUUGAUUUGGUUGAGUCUUUGUACCAAGAGAUGUCUGAUCGAAUGAUAACUCCAAAUACAGUGACGCAAAAUACUGUUCUAGGGGGAUAUGGGAAAGCUGGAAAGUUCGAUGAGAUGGAGAAAAUUCUAUCAGGUAUGCUUGAGAGUUCAACAUGCAGACCGGAUGUUUGGACAAUGAACAUCAUUUUAGCCUUAUUUGGCAACAAAGGGCAGAUUGAUAUGAUGGAGAAAUGGUAUGAAAAAUUUCGUAGCAUUGGAAUUGAGCCCGAGACACAAACUUUUAACAUUCUAAUAGGUGCCUAUGGGAAGAAAAAGAUGUAUGAUAAAAUGACCGCGGUGAUGGAAUAUAUGAGAAAGCUACAAUUUCCAUGGACUACCUCGACUUAUAACAAUGUCAUUGAGGCCUUCGCAGAUGUAGGGGAUGCGAAAAAUAUGGACUAUACAUUUAAUCAAAUGCGGGCUGAAGGGAUGAGAGCAGAUACUAAAACUUUCUGUUGUCUUGUUGAUGGGUUUAGUAAUGCGGGUCUUUUCCAUAAGGUUGUGAGUAGCAUUCAGUUGGCUGAGAGGUUGGAUGUGUCCUUUAACACAUCGUUUUAUAAUUCGGUUCUUUCUGCAUGUGCAAAGGCUGGAGAUUUGAUGGAGAUGGAGAGAGUAUUUAACCAAAUGAAAGAUAAGUAUUAUACUCCGGAUUCUACUACUUAUUCUAUAUUGGUGGAAGCAUAUAGAAAGGAGGGGAUGAAUGACAAGAUUUUUUAUCUGGAGCAAGAAGAACAGAAGACCUCUCAACUUGAACAUGUAGGUUGAUAGGCUUCUUGAAUAACAUGUUUGUGAUUUUAGCUCUAAAUCAGGGAAUAUUCCUGAACUGCACAAAACUGAGGGCAGAAAUGAUGCUUUGGAGGGAAAUGACUGGUUGGUGACUGUCUAUUCCAGCAUACUGUUGAAAAUGAGCGGGAUGAUGUCUUCCAACCUUAAGGAGUCGAUUUUCCUUUUAUAGCGCCCUUGUCAGCUGAAGUUUAACCACCUAACAAUUCUGUUUGUUAUUCCAGUCCCUGAGAUGGUGGUGCUGGAAUGGUUAUAGUUAUUUUUCUCUGUAUCCGUUAACUUUCGUGUCAUUUUAUAGCUCAUUUGUUAUCCUUUUAUGUCCUGCCUUGCAUGUUUUACGCCAAUGCACCUGACUAUGAUGAUUAUGGAUGGCAAUGAUGCAUUAUUCAUCAAGUGGUUUUCCUAAGGAAACAGCUCUAUAUGUUUAUUUUAUUUUUGCAUUUUGUUUAAACUUACAAAAACUCUAUGAGCAUACAUUUUGACAAACACAAUUGCUCAAUGAAAACGAGCGUUAUCUUAACUUUGUUUGACACAGUUCUCUACAGGAUGUUAUAUUUCCUCAUUGCCGUAUCCAUAGAGAGUCUCACCUGUUUCCUUCAUAGUUAUUUCUUUCAUCUCCCUUUUAAAAGCAUGGAACUUUUAGUUGAGACCCCAAACUUUCGCCAAACCACUGCUAGUCCACGUUAGGCACGAACCCUGUUACAAAAACUUGAUGCAUAGUUCAGAAUUUCUUAGUUUUCCUGAAACAUAUAAAACAAAAUGGUCAGGUUUCCAUUCUGAGUUGAAGCUUCUUUAUUUUAUCUAGUCCACUUGUUUCAUUGACUUC